Molecule: ribosomal RNA, 468 nt
Filed under: uncultured bacterium
Lineage: Bacteria
Description: partial 16S ribosomal RNA
Rfam family: Bacterial small subunit ribosomal RNA
Source: RNAcentral
GACGAACGCUGGCGGCGUGCUUAACACAUGCAAGUCGAACGGAAAGUCCCUGCUUUUUUGCGGUGCUCGGGUGGCGACCGGGUGAGUAACACGUGAGUAACCUACCCUUGACUUUGGGAUAACUUCAGGAAACUGGGGCUAAUACCGGAUAGGAGCUCCUGCUGCAUGGUGGGGGUUGGAAGGUUUCGGCGGUUGGGGAUGGACUCGCGGCUUAUCAGCUUGUUGGUGGGGUAGUGUCAUACCAAGGCUUUGACGGGUAGCCGGCCUGAGAGGGUGAGAGGCCACACUGCGACUGAGAUACGGCCCAGACUCCUAUGGGAGGCAGCAGUGGGGAAUAUUGUACAAUGGGCGGAAGCCUGAUGCAGCAAAGCCGCGUGCGGGAUGACGUCAUUCGGGUUGUAAUCCGCUUCCGCCUGUGACGAAGCGUGAGUGACGGUAAUGGGUAAAGAAGCUCCGGCUAACUACGUG